UACGAAGGGGGCUAGCGUUGCUCGGAAUUACUGGGCGUAAAGGGCGCGUAGGCGGAUAGUUUAGUCAGAGGUGAAAGCCCAGGGCUCAACCUUGGAAUUGCCUUUGAUACUGGCUGUCUUGAGUAUGGGAGAGGUGAGUGGAACUCCGAGUGUAGAGGUGAAAUUCGUAGAUAUUCGGAAGAACACCAGUGGCGAAGGCGACUCACUGGCCCAUUACUGACGCUGAGGCGCGAAAGCGUGGGGAGCAAACAGG
RNAcentral lists this ribosomal RNA (253 nucleotides) under uncultured bacterium. RNAcentral's name for it is "partial 16S ribosomal RNA". It matches the Rfam family "Bacterial small subunit ribosomal RNA", at positions 524 to 776 of the family's 1533-position model. The record is from RNAcentral.